CAGAGACCUCAAGCGUUAUCCGGAAUCAUUGGGCGUAAAGCGUACCGAUAGGUUGUUUUACAAGUCAGGGGUGAAAUCUCAAGGCUCAACUUUGAGACUGUCUCUUGAAACUGUAAAACUAGAGGGGUAAAGAGGAAGCUGGAACGAACGGUGUAGUAGUGAAAUGCGUUGAUAUCGUUCGGAACACCGAUAGCGAAGGCAGGCUUCUGGGUACCACCUGACACUGCUAGGACGAAAGCGUGGGGAGCGAAUGGGAUUAGAUACCCCAGUAGUCCACGCUGUAAACGAUGCACAUUCGGCGCUAGAGAGUAUCGACCCUCUUUAGUGCCAAAGCUAACGCGUUAAAUGUGCCGCCUGGGGAGUACGGCCGCAAGGCUA
RNAcentral lists this ribosomal RNA (378 nucleotides) under uncultured organism. Its description in RNAcentral is "bacterial SSU rRNA". It matches the Rfam family "Bacterial small subunit ribosomal RNA", at positions 526 to 896 of the family's 1533-position model. The record is from RNAcentral.